RNAcentral lists this ribosomal RNA (474 nucleotides) under uncultured bacterium. Its description in RNAcentral is "bacterial SSU rRNA". It matches the Rfam family "Bacterial small subunit ribosomal RNA", at positions 8 to 526 of the family's 1533-position model. The record is from RNAcentral.
AGAGUUUGAUCCUGGCUCAGGAUGAACGCUGGCGGUAUGCUUAACACAUGCAAGUCGAACGAAAGUCUUCGGAUUUUAGCGGCGGACGGGUGAGUAACGCGUGAGACUCUACCUAUAGGUUGUGGAUAACAGCUGGAAACAGCUGCUAAUACCGAAUGUGCCGAGAGGUGAAAGCUUUAGUGCCUGUAGAAGAGCUCGAGUCCGAUUAGCUAGUUGGUUGGGUAAAGGCUGACCAAGGCGACGAUCGGGAGCUGGUCUGAGAGGAUGAUCAGCCACACUGGGACUGAGACACGGCCCAGACGCCUACGGGAGGCAGCAGUGGGGAAUUUUCCGCAAUGGGCGAAAGCCUGACGGAGCAAUGCCGCGUGAAGGAUGACGGCCUAUGGGUUGUAAACUUCUGUUCUCAGAGAAGAAUUUUGACGGUAUCUGAGGAAUAAGCAUCGGCUAACUCUGUGCCAGCAGCCGCGGUAAUAC